UAAUGUGGUAGUUUCUGUAUUUGGCAGAUCUGUAAUUGUAUCAGAGCGGCCUUAAACUACCACAGAGAUCAGAAAGGAGAAGGCUGAGCUGAGAACUUUUCAAGCUUUUUGGUUUUCAGCUUUUUGUUCAGCUCCUACAGAA
This 142-nucleotide small nucleolar RNA is filed under the name Haliaeetus albicilla (white-tailed eagle). Its description in RNAcentral is "Small nucleolar RNA SNORA12". It matches the Rfam family "Small nucleolar RNA SNORA12". Rfam says of the family: U108 belongs to the H/ACA family of snoRNAs. The sequence is predicted to guide the pseudouridylation of the U372 residue in the 28S rRNA subunit. However it has not been reported as a pseudouridylation site. Lineage: Eukaryota; Metazoa; Chordata; Aves; Accipitriformes; Accipitridae. The record is from Rfam by way of RNAcentral.